UCUGAGACCUCUCCCUUCAAUCCAUCUGGCUUGGACCUGAAGAGGUGCCUUUGCUCCGUUGACGAGGAUCUGUGGAUGAAGAGGAAGGCUGGAAUUCAGCUGGCAGCCCUCAGCUACUGGGAGUCCAGUGAUGAGCGGCCCUGGUGGGAACCAGGUGGCAGAAAUUCUGGAACCACCACGUCUCCUUUGAUAAACAAAAGACAGAUAGGUCUCCAAAAGGUCUUGAGGAACCUCCUGUUCCCAAGGCAGGGAAUGAUGUCCAAGCGGAAGCACACUGAAGUGCCUGGAGGCUCCCCGGGCGUGUUCACAAGGGAAUAUUGACAUUUGGGACCAAGGGAUGGAAAACUAGGCUGUGAGCUGCUGGAGCUGUUAUCAAGGAUAUUUAUUCCAGCAACUUUCCCUUGCAGGUCUUCUUAAGGUUGUGCCUCUUUUUCCCCAUUCCCCUCUGAGUGUCCCACACCACAUUUUCCAUUAAUUACUAAAAUAAAUCUAACAAAAUGCUCUCCUUCCUGGGCUUU
RNAcentral lists this long non-coding RNA (518 nucleotides) under Cyanistes caeruleus (blue tit). RNAcentral's name for it is "lncRNA (ENSCCEG00000020424.1)". The record is from RNAcentral. Lineage: Eukaryota; Metazoa; Chordata; Aves; Passeriformes; Paridae.